RNAcentral lists this ribosomal RNA (744 nucleotides) under uncultured bacterium. RNAcentral describes it as "bacterial SSU rRNA". It matches the Rfam family "Bacterial small subunit ribosomal RNA", at positions 8 to 796 of the family's 1533-position model. The record is from RNAcentral.
AGAGUUUGAUCAUGGCUCAGAGCGAACGCUGGCGGCAGGCUUAACACAUGCAAGUCGAACGGGCGUAGCAAUACGUCAGUGGCAGACGGGUGAGUAACGCGUGGGAACGUACCUUUUGGUUCGGAACAACACAGGGAAACUUGUGCUAAUACCGGAUAAGCCCUUACGGGGAAAGAUUUAUCGCCGAAAGAUCGGCCCGCGUCUGAUUAGCUAGUUGGUGAGGUAACGGCUCACCAAGGCGACGAUCAGUAGCUGGUCUGAGAGGAUGAUCAGCCACAUUGGGACUGAGACACGGCCCAAACUCCUACGGGAGGCAGCAGUGGGGAAUAUUGGACAAUGGGCGCAAGCCUGAUCCAGCCAUGCCGCGUGAGUGAUGAAGGCCUUCGGGUUGUAAAGCUCUUUUGGCGGGGACGAUGAUGACGGUACCCGCAGAAUAAGCCCCGGCUAACUUCGUGCCAGCAGCCGCGGUAAGACGAAGGGGGCUAGCGUUGUUCGGAAUUACUGGGCGUAAAGCGAGUGUAGGUGGUUGUCAUAGUCAGGUGUGAAAGCCUUGAGCUCAACUCAAGAAAUGCACUUGAUACUGGGCGACUAGAGGACCGGAGAGGAUAGUGGAAUUCCCAGUGUAGUGGUGAAAUACGUAGAGAUUGGGAAGAACACCAGUGGCGAAGGCGGCUAUCUGGACGGUUUCUGACACUAAGACUCGAAAGCGUGGGGAGCAAACAGGAUUAGAUACCCUGGUAGUCC